RNAcentral lists this ribosomal RNA (674 nucleotides) under uncultured Staphylococcus sp. RNAcentral describes it as "bacterial SSU rRNA". It matches the Rfam family "Bacterial small subunit ribosomal RNA", at positions 73 to 732 of the family's 1533-position model. The record is from RNAcentral. Lineage: Bacteria; Bacillati; Bacillota; Bacilli; Caryophanales; Staphylococcaceae.
GAGGAGCUUGCUCCUCUGACGUUAGCGGCGGACGGGUGAGUAACACGUGGAUAACCUACCUAUAAGACUGGGAUAACUUCGGGAAACCGGAGCUAAUACCGGAUAAUAUAUUGAACCGUAUGGUUCAAUAGUGAAAGACGGUUUUGCUGUCACUUAUAGAUGGAUCCGCGCCGCAUUAGCUAGUUGGUAAGGUAACGGCUUACCAAGGCAACGAUGCGUAGCCGACCUGAGAGGGUGAUCGGCCACACUGGAACUGAGACACGGUCCAGACUCCUACGGGAGGCAGCAGUAGGGAAUCUUCCGCAAUGGGCGAAGGCCUGACGGAGCAACGCCGCGUGAGUGAUGAAGGUCUUCGGAUCGUAAAACUCUGUUAUUAGGGAAGAACAAAUGUGUAAGUAACUAUGCACGUCUUGACGGUACCUAAUCAGAAAGCCACGGCUAACUACGUGCCAGCAGCCGCGGUAAUACGUAGGUGGCAAGCGUUAUCCGGAAUUAUUGGGCGUAAAGCGCGCGUAGGCGGUUUUUUAAGUCUGAUGUGAAAGCCCACGGCUCAACCGUGGAGGGUCAUUGGAAACUGGAAAACUUGAGUGCAGAAGAGGAAAGUGGAAUUCCAUGUGUAGCGGUGAAAUGCGCAGAGAUAUGGAGGAACACCAGUGGCGAAGGCGACUUUCUGG